AACGUAGGAGACAAACGUUAUCCGGAGUUACUGGGCGUAAAGGGCGUGUAGGCGGUCGACUAAGUCUGGCGUGAAAGCUCGCGGCUAAACCGCGAGAGGUCGUUGGAUACUGGUUGACUAGAGGACGGUAGAGGCGUGUGGAAUUCCGGGUGUAGUGGUGAAAUGCGUAGAGAUCCGGAGGAACACCAGUGGCGAAGGCGACACGCUGGGCCGUACCUGACGCUGAGACACGAAAGCGUGGGUAGCAAACAGG
RNAcentral lists this ribosomal RNA (253 nucleotides) under uncultured prokaryote. RNAcentral describes it as "partial 16S ribosomal RNA". It matches the Rfam family "Bacterial small subunit ribosomal RNA", at positions 524 to 776 of the family's 1533-position model. The record is from RNAcentral.